GACGAACGCUGGCGGCGUGCUUAACACAUGCCAGUCGAACGGAAAGGCCCCCACCUUGGUGGGGGUGCUCGAGUGGCGAACGGGUGAGUAACACGUGGGUGAUCUGCCCUGUACUUCGGGAUAAGCUUGGGAAACUGGGUCUAAUACCGGAUAGGACCAUGGUUUAGUGUCUCAUGGUGGAAAAAUUAUUGUUUUGGUGCAGGAUGAGCUCGCGGCCUAUCAGCUUGUUGGUGGGGUAAUGGCCUACCAAGGCGUCGACGGGUAGCCGGCCUGAGAGGGUGGACGGCCACAUUGGGACUGAGAUACGGCCCAGACUCCUACGGGAGGCAGCAGUGGGGAAUAUUGCACAAUGGGCGCAAGCCUGAUGCAGCGACGCCGCGUGGGGGAUGACGGCCUUCGGGUUGUAAACUCCUUUCGUUAGGGACGAAGCCACACCUUUUUUGGGUGUGGUGACGGUACCUUUGUGAAGAAGCACCGGCUAACUACGUG
Molecule: ribosomal RNA, 489 nt
Filed under: uncultured bacterium
Lineage: Bacteria
Description: partial 16S ribosomal RNA
Rfam family: Bacterial small subunit ribosomal RNA
Source: RNAcentral